Molecule: ribosomal RNA, 795 nt
Filed under: Triticum aestivum (bread wheat)
Lineage: Eukaryota; Viridiplantae; Streptophyta; Magnoliopsida; Poales; Poaceae
Description: partial small subunit ribosomal RNA
Source: RNAcentral
AUGCGCUAUUGGAAGGUGCGCCCCAACCAAUCAAUAUAUAUCCCGCGGGCCUCCUGUUUGGAGGCUGAGACGCUUCACUACGAUCUUCCACAUGGUAUACAGAGCUACCCUCUUCCCCUUCGUCUAGCCAUCCCUUCUUCCACCUCCAAAUUCGACAAUGUCGACGUCCACCUCGGUUGUCUCCACCGGCCUCAACAACAACGUCUCCGAACCCCUCACUCGUUCCAAUUAUGUUCUCUGGCGUGCCCAAGCUCGUUCCCAGAUCAUGGGACGGGCCUCUUCGGGUACGUCGACAAAACCCUAGAAGCGCCACCCAAAACCAUCACCAGCAAGAACGCCGAGGGCAAAGAUCAGGUGACUGUGAACCCUGCUUAUGCGCCUUGGCUCAUCCAAGACCAACAGAUCGUUGCAUACCUCUUCCGCAAUCUCUCGAAAGAAGUUCUAGUUCAAGUAGCAUCUCUUGAAACCUCCCAUGCCAUCUGGUCAGACCUCGCCAACAUGUUCUCUGCCCAAUCCCGUUCCCGCUGCAACCACAUCCGCAUCUCCCUCACCACUGCCCAGAAGGGAACUCAGUCUGCUGCUGCAUACUUUGGCUACAUGCGCGGUAUCGCUGAUGAGAUUGCAGCGGCUGGGAAACCCAUCGAUGAGGACGAACUCGUGUCUCACAUCAUAUCCGGGCUCGACAUGGAAUAUCAGCCCAUCAUCAGCACCCUGGACAUGCGUCCUGAGCCAACCACCGUCGACGAACUCUUCGGUAUGGUAUCUACUUUUGAUCAGAGGGUUGAGAUGUUCUAG